This 1067-nucleotide long non-coding RNA is filed under the name Marmota monax (woodchuck). Lineage: Eukaryota; Metazoa; Chordata; Mammalia; Rodentia; Sciuridae. The record is from RNAcentral.
AGACAGAGGUAUCAAAUUUUGCCUCAUUCUCCCUGCUCUGAUCAUGUCCAAACCACAGUAUCUCUCUCCUCCUUAAUAUAGAGAUGUUAGAUACAUCUUUGAUCUCUCCCUCAAGGAGCUCACUCUAUGGUUCAACUUCUAAAAUUAUUUUAGUAAUUCUCAAAGAGGCCUGCUGUAUGACAGGUUCCAUGCUUGGCUUGAAUGAUAAACAGGUGAUUAUGCCACGGUCUGCAGGAGACCCAGACAAAUAAGUCGAAAUCACGGCAUAAACUUGUAUAAUAUGGGCAGAAACUGAGUUAAUCUCAAAGAGCACUGAGAAGGGUGCCUAAAUCAGAAGGGGACUGGGAGGUUUCCUGCAAAUGGUAAUUCUGAUCCUAAAUCUUGAAGGGGGCCAGGAGAAGAAGAAGAAGUUGGGUCAAAGGAGAUUACAAACAGAGGAACAGAAAGUGCAUGAAAUUACAGGAGAGUCAGAGGACAAGUUCAAACUGAGCAGAAUGAAGGGGAUUGUGAAACAUUUGGGCUAGAGAGGCAGGCAGGGAUGUGCUCAUGAGAGGAUCUAAACUUGAUCCUGAAAACCAGAGACCCAUGGUAUUAUUUUAAGCAGAAGUGUGACAGCAUAAGAUUUAGAAAGAUCAUUGCUGGGGUAAACAAGUCAGUGCUUAGAAGUCUUGUUAUUUUUGAAGGUGAACUAAAAAGGACUCCAAAGAAUGUGCUAGGGAACAUAAGGAAGAAGGAAACUAUCCACUUCCCUUAUCUCCAGUAUUUGUGUAGGUAUCAAAGCAGAACAAACUCAGUUGUGAAGUAAAGUCAUGUGCUCAUCAAACAUUUGAAGAAACCUUUAUGUGUAGUUGAUGUGCAAUCUGUCCUGUGUCUUGUUCCCCUUUGCCUGUAGGCAUGGUGUAGCCCCCAGUUUAUUCCAAACUGUGGCGCCAAGGUUUACCUGAAUAGUAAAAUGGCCAAACAUUCUCUGCUGAGUCCUCCAAGUUCUUUUUGGGGGGAUUGGAAUAUAUUAUACUGGGGCCUUUACAGCCCUGGGGUUAAGCCAUCACUCUGGCAGUAGCGUGAAG